AGUGGGAGCACGCUUAGGCGUGUGACUGCGUACCUUUUGUAUAAUGGGUCAGCGACUUAUAUUCUGUAGCAAGGUUAACCGAAUAGGGGAGCCGAAGGGAAACCGAGUCUUAACUGGGCGUUAAGUUGCAGGGUAUAGACCCGAAACCCGGUGAUCUAGCCAUGGGCAGGUUGAAGGUUGGGUAACACUAACUGGAGGACCGAACCGACUAAUGUUGAAAAAUUAGCGGAUGACUUGUGGCUGGGGGUGAAAGGCCAAUCAAACCGGGAGAUAGCUGGUUCUCCCCGAAAGCUAUUUAGGUAGCGCCUCGUGAAUUCAUCUCCGGGGGUAGAGCACUGUUUCGGCAAGGGGGUCAUCCCGACUUACCAACCC
Molecule: ribosomal RNA, 372 nt
Filed under: Escherichia coli
Lineage: Bacteria; Pseudomonadati; Pseudomonadota; Gammaproteobacteria; Enterobacterales; Enterobacteriaceae
Description: partial 23S ribosomal RNA
Rfam family: Bacterial large subunit ribosomal RNA
Source: RNAcentral